AGAAUUUCGUCAGGACCUACCUCCUCCCAAGAACUGACGAAUACGGCCGGCAUUCACCUCCUCCCGAUUGCUGGCCAACAAAACGACACCCGCCGGACCUCCUCCCCGGCGGGUGUUGUCG
RNAcentral lists this small RNA (121 nucleotides) under Mesorhizobium alhagi CCNWXJ12-2. RNAcentral's name for it is "Alphaproteobacterial ar14". It matches the Rfam family "Alphaproteobacterial ar14". Rfam says of the family: Smr14C2 was renamed NfeR1 (Nodule Formation Efficiency RNA) highly expressed in salt stress and during the symbiotic interaction on legume roots. The record is from Rfam by way of RNAcentral. Lineage: Bacteria; Pseudomonadati; Pseudomonadota; Alphaproteobacteria; Hyphomicrobiales; Phyllobacteriaceae.